UACGUAGGGUGCAAGCGUUGUCCGGAAUCAUUGGGCGUAAAGAGCGUGUAGGCGGCCAGAAAAGUCCGCUGUGAAAACCCGAGGCUCAACCUCGGGCCUGCAGUGGGUACGGGCAGACUAGAGUGCGGUAGGGGAGAUUGGAAUUCCUGGUGUAGCGGUGGAAUGCGCAGAUAUCAGGAGGAACACCGAUGGCGAAGGCAGGUCUCUGGGCAUUAACUGACGCUGGAGGAGCGAAAGCAUGGGGAGCGAACAGG
This 254-nucleotide ribosomal RNA is filed under the name uncultured bacterium. RNAcentral describes it as "partial 16S ribosomal RNA". It matches the Rfam family "Bacterial small subunit ribosomal RNA", at positions 524 to 776 of the family's 1533-position model. The record is from RNAcentral.